Molecule: ribosomal RNA, 464 nt
Filed under: uncultured bacterium
Lineage: Bacteria
Description: partial 16S ribosomal RNA
Rfam family: Bacterial small subunit ribosomal RNA
Source: RNAcentral
GACGAACGCUGGCGGCGUGCUUAACACAUGCAAGUCGAACGGAAAGGCCCUGCUUGCAGGGUACUCGAGUGGCGAACGGGUGAGUAACACGUGGGUGAUCUGCCCUGCACUUCGGGAUAAGCCUGGGAAACUGGGUCUAAUACCGGAUAGGAGCCAUUUUUAGUCUGAUGGUUGGAAAGGUUUUUCGGUUGGGGAUGAGCUCGCGGCCUAUCAGCUAGUUGGUGGGGUAAUGGCUUACAAAGGCGGCGUCGGGUAGCCGGCCGGGGAGGGGGACGGCCCAAAUGGGGCUGGAAAACGGGCCAGACCCCCACGGGAGGCAAGCGGGGGGAAUAUUUGCAAAUGGGGGGAAGCCUGAUGCAGGGACGGCGGGGGGGGGGUGACGGGCUUCGGGUUGUAAACUCCCUUUGGUAGGGACGAAACUGUUUGUGACGGUACCUAGAUAAGAAGCACCGGCUAACUACGUG